This 103-nucleotide transfer RNA is filed under the name Anopheles funestus (African malaria mosquito). Its description in RNAcentral is "tRNA-Tyr for anticodon GUA". It matches the Rfam family "tRNA". From Rfam's summary of the family: Transfer RNA (tRNA) molecules are approximately 80 nucleotides in length. Their secondary structure includes four short double-helical elements and three loops (D, anti-codon, and T loops). The record is from RNAcentral. Lineage: Eukaryota; Metazoa; Arthropoda; Insecta; Diptera; Culicidae.
CCUUCGAUAGCUCAGUUGGUAGAGCGGUGGACUGUAGAGGAAAUGAGUAUUCAUACAAAUAGUAGUCAUCCAUAGGUCGCUGGUUCAAAUCCGGCUCGAAGGA